ACAUGAUUAAGUAUGGAAGUCGUAUAUCAAACAAUAACUGUAAAAUUUACAGCAUACAUUUAACGUAAAAAAUUUAUAAAUGAUAACCAACAGUUUGCAGUUUUGUAUUAUUUGGUCAGCAUAUACUGUAUUACUUACGAUAUGGGGUUAUUUAUCUAUUUAUCUUCUGUAUAAUUAAGAGAUAAAUAACAUAUAUAAAUUACUUACUAUAUAUUGGUGGUAUUUAUCUUCUGUACAGUAUUUUCAGAAUUAACAAUCAUUGUAUGAAUUACUUACUAUAUAUUGGUGGUAUCCAUCUUCUGUGCAAUAAUGACAGAUAUAACAUACCUUGUAUAAAUUACUUAUUAUAUAUUGGUGGUAUUUAUCUUUUGUAUAUUUAUGACAUAAAUAAAAA
Pecten maximus is the source of this 394-nucleotide long non-coding RNA. RefSeq lists it as uncharacterized. The transcript is spliced from 2 exons. Lineage: Eukaryota; Metazoa; Mollusca; Bivalvia; Pectinida; Pectinidae. The record is from RefSeq and is a predicted model, not a curated record.